Molecule: ribosomal RNA, 826 nt
Filed under: uncultured bacterium
Lineage: Bacteria
Description: bacterial SSU rRNA
Rfam family: Bacterial small subunit ribosomal RNA
Source: RNAcentral
CAUGCAAGUCGAGGGGCAGCAUCAUUAAAGCUUGCUUUGAUGGAUGGCGACCGGCGCACGGGUGAGUAACACGUAUCCAACCUGCCGACAACACUGGGAUAGCCUUUCGAAAGAAAGAUUAAUACCGGAUGGCAUAGUUUUCCCGCAUGGGAUAAUUAUUAAAGAAUUUCGGUUGUCGAUGGGGAUGCGUUCCAUUAGGCAGUUGGCGGGGUAACGGCCCACCAAACCAACGAUGGAUAGGGGUUCUGAGAGGAAGGUCCCCCACAUUGGAACUGAGACACGGUCCAAACUCCUACGGGAGGCAGCAGUGAGGAAUAUUGGUCAAUGGACGAGAGUCUGAACCAGCCAAGUAGCGUGAAGGAUGACUGCCCUAUGGGUUGUAAACUUCUUUUAUACGGGAAUAAAGUGAGCCACGUGUGGCUUUUUGUAUGUACCGUAUGAAUAAGGAUCGGCUAACUCCGUGCCAGCAGCCGCGGUAAUACGGAGGAUCCGAGCGUUAUCCGGAUUUAUUGGGUUUAAAGGGAGCGUAGGCGGGUUGUUAAGUCAGUUGUGAAAGUUUGCGGCUCAACCGUAAAAUUGCAGUUGAUACUGGCGACCUUGAGUGCAACAGAGGUAGGCGGAAUUCGUGGUGUAGCGGUGAAAUGCUUAGAUAUCACGAAGAACUCCGAUUGCGAAGGCAGCUUACUGGAUUGUAACUGACGCUGAUGCUCGAAAGUGUGGGUAUCAAACAGGAUUAGAUACCCUGGUAGUCCACACAGUAAACGAUGAAUACUCGCUGUUGGCGAUAUACGGUCAGCGGCCAAGCGAAAGCAUUAAGUAUUCCACC